AAAUUUCAUUUUUUUUAUCUUUUCUUUUCUUCUGAAAAAAAAAUAGAAAGAGCAGCCCCUUUUCCCCAUUUCUUUCUCUGCUAGGGUUUCAAAACCCUCCCACGCUGCCGUCAUCAGGGUUUCUUGAAACCACCGGGGCUUCCACCGUCGACGAGGGUCAAGACCGCAAGGAUCCAGGUGAUGGGAUGAUGAGACGAAGGCAGUGCAAGUGGAGGCAAGCGUCGGUGGUGGGUUUGGGCUUCUAUUUUGGGCCCAAAAUUGGGCUUGUACAAUCAUUUAUUACCUUAUAACUUGGUUAAUGCUUCAAUUACUAUCAAUAUUAAUCAUAACUACUUGCUAUUGCAUAAUGUUGACAAAAUAUAUAAAUGUUGAGGGUUAAAUUUGACAUUGUACUUAAUUUUCUUCUACUUUUCUGAUUUAAAAUUAAAGUCCUUUUGAUAA
Molecule: long non-coding RNA, 441 nt
Organism: Gossypium arboreum
Lineage: Eukaryota; Viridiplantae; Streptophyta; Magnoliopsida; Malvales; Malvaceae
Exons: 2
Source: RefSeq, a predicted model, not a curated record